UACAGAGGGUGCGAGCGUUAAUCGGAAUUACUGGGCGUAAAGCGUGCGUAGACGGUUAUUUAAGUCAGGUGUGAAAGCCCCGGGCUCAACCUGGGAAUUGCAUUUGAGACUGAAUAGCUAGGGUGCGGAAGAGGGAAGCGGAAUUUCCGGUGUAGCGGUGAAAUGCGUAGAUAUCUGGAGGAACACCGGUGGCGAAGGCGGCAUCCUGGACCGGCAUUGACGCUGAGGCGCGAAAGCCAGGGGAGCAAACGGG
This 253-nucleotide ribosomal RNA is filed under the name uncultured bacterium. RNAcentral's name for it is "partial 16S ribosomal RNA". It matches the Rfam family "Bacterial small subunit ribosomal RNA", at positions 524 to 776 of the family's 1533-position model. The record is from RNAcentral.